UGCCUGUGAUCUGAGGACAACCAGCCAGUGUCUAUCCCCUCCUCUGCUACUGGGCCAGACACACGAGUGCGCACACACACACACACCCUACAGGUUCGGAUUUGGUCCGGUCCGUCUGUGGACGUUAACAUCAAGGCCAGGGUGGACUGACCAACUUUCAACUACUUUUCAACGUCCAUGGACAUCAGGUGUCGGUCGGUGCACAGUGGGUGAGGCUGAUGCUCACAGUAAAUGGAAAGAGAGGGGACUCGUGGUUAGGUGUCUAAGAGCUGGGAGAGGUGACAUUUAACUGGAGAGAGACAGACAGGGAGGGGAGGGGUUGCUGAACAUAACAGUAUGGAAGAGGGAGGACCGUAGAAGGUGACCCAACUGUGGUUUGUGACUAUUAUGAUUUCCCAUUGUAUCCAAUUCAGUU
Long non-coding RNA from Oncorhynchus tshawytscha (Chinook salmon), 415 nucleotides. NCBI's taxonomy places the organism in Eukaryota, Metazoa, Chordata, Actinopteri, Salmoniformes, Salmonidae. The record is from Ensembl.